Non-coding RNA from Pteropus alecto (black flying fox), 73 nucleotides. The record is from Rfam. NCBI's taxonomy places the organism in Eukaryota, Metazoa, Chordata, Mammalia, Chiroptera, Pteropodidae.
GGUUCCAUAGUGUAGCGGUUAGCACGCCUGCUUUACACACAGAAGGUCCUGGGUUUGUUCCCCAGCGGAGCCA